RNA transcript from Onychostoma macrolepis, 5047 nucleotides. It is a transcript of the gene named C-type mannose receptor 2-like, with no coding region annotated. The record is from RefSeq and is a predicted model, not a curated record. The transcript is spliced from 12 exons. NCBI's taxonomy places the organism in Eukaryota, Metazoa, Chordata, Actinopteri, Cypriniformes, Cyprinidae.
UCUGUCUUAGGCCCUCUGCUAUUUUCAAUAUUCACGCUGCCCCUUGGUAAUAUUAUCAUACAGCAUGAGAUUAGUUUCCAUCGUUUUGCUGAUGAUACUAACCUACUGCAUAUAUUUCAACAAGACCAGAUGAAACUUCUAAAUGAUGAAGCUAACAGUGUAUUAAAGAUGUAAAUGAUUGGAUGACCAAUUAUUUUCCUCUAUUAAGUUCGGGUAAGAGAGCGAUAUUACUUAUUGGACAAAAAACAGUACACAGAAUCUCUUAGAACAUCAUUUGAAUCUAGAAGGUUGUACUGUUACUUCUUCCGCUAUGGUCGAAAACCUUGCUGUUAUAUGUGAAAGUGACGUGUGGCCAAGUAUGGUGUGCCAUACUCGGAAUCUGUGCUCUGCAUUUACCCAUUUAGACACACACCCAGAAGAGUGGGCAGCCAUUUUUUGCUGCGGUGCCCAGGGAGCAGUUAGAGGUUUGGUGCUUUGCUUAAAGGUCUCACCUCAGUCAUGGUAUUGAGGGUGGAAGAGAGCGUUGGUCAUUCAUUGAAAUUUACAUAAUACAAUAUGUUUCCACUGCUGCUGUUAUCGGGCUUUUUCACCUUCACCUUGAGUGUCCCUCAUGAGUAUGUCUUUGUGAAUGAAUCCAAGACUUGGACAGAAGCUCAGAGAUACUGCAGAGAGAAAUACACUGAUCUGGCCACCAUUGAAAAUGUACAACAGACGAUCGAUUUAACAGACACAGUGAAUGAUGAUUCCAUUGAUUUGGCCUGGAUUGGACUCUAUGAUGAUCUGAACAGUUGGAAAUGGACUCUAGAGGACAGUGAUUUUUUUAAGGUUGGAGAGAAAGACUUCAGGAAUUGGUACAACCCAGGACCAGACAAUUAUGGAGGACAAAGUCUGUGUGUGUAUAUGAGCAAUGGGUUAUGGUAUACAUCAUACUGUUUCUAUUAUCGUCCUUUUAUCUGCUAUGAUGGAAGACAGAAUUCCAGUGCUAGUUAUAUGUUUGUUAACUAUCACACAACCUGGACUGAAGCUCAGAGAUACUGCAGAGAACAUCACACAGACCUUGUCAGUAUCACGAAUGAGAGUGAAAACCAGAAGAUCCAGUACCUAUUACAUAAAUAUUAUUAUUAUACAUUUUGGAUUGGACUGUACAGAACCAGAUCUUGGUCAGAUCGGAGCAACUCUUCAUACAGCAACUGGAUGACAGGACAGCCAGAUAAUGCAGGAUCCUGCACUGUAGUCUCAUUCAGUGACUCUGGGAAAUGGACAGAUGAAAACUGCGAUUAUAGAUUUCCUUUCAUCUGCUACAGUGUGUCAUCUUUGACAUUAUCCCGUCAGUAUCACUUUGUGUCUGAGAAUAAGACCUGGACUGAGGCUCAGAGAUACUGCAGACAGAAUUAUACCAAUCUGGCCACCAUUGAUAACAUGGAGGAAAUGAACAGACUGAUUAACACAGUUAAUGGGAGUUACAAUGGUUCAGCCUGGAUUGGACUGUAUGAUGAUGUGAACAGCUGGAGAUGGUCACUGGAAGACAAUGAUUUCUAUCAGGAAGGAGAGAGAGAUUUCAGAAACUGGUAUCAUGAACCGGACAACCAUGGUGGGAAGCAGCUGUGUGUUUACAUGAAUUAUGAUGGGAAAUGGCAUGAUAUCUCAUGUGACAACAUGCUGCCAUUCGUUUGCUAUGGUGAAAGAGGGAAUGCAACACAUAAUUACACAAGAAUCAAUGAUGGGAAAUCCUGGUCAGAGGCUCGUAGAUACUGCAGAGAUCAUUACACAGAUCUCGUCAAUGUGAGAAAUCAGACUGAGAACCAGAGGAUCCUUGAGACAGCAGGUGGAGGAGUCUGGAUCGGACUGUACAGAAACAGAAUUUGGUCAAAUGGUCAGAUUACCAAAUAUGAAGAUUGGAGACCAGCCAUUCCCCAUUCACAACAACAACCAGAUAAUGGCUUAUAUGAUUACGGUCAGUGGGGUUUUCAGCACUGUACUGCUGUAUCAUUCAGCCAUUCAGGUCAAUGGACUGAUGACAACUGCUUCUCCAGCAUGUCUUUCAUCUGCUACAAGAAAACCUGCACACAAUCUUCAUGCACCCGUCAGUACCAUUUUGUGUCUGAGAAUAAGACCUGGACUGAAGCUCAGAGAUACUGCAGACAGAAUUACACUGAUCUGGCCACUGUUGAGAACAUGGGGGAAAUGAACAGACUCUUUAAAACAGUGCGCAGGACUUACGGUAAAGCUUGGAUUGGUCUGUAUGAUGAUAUGAACAGCUGGAGAUGGUCUCUGGAUAAUACAGCAUUAGAGGGAGGUUUUAAAAGCUGGUAUGUUCAGCAACAAGUGAAUUCAGGUGGACAGAGUCUGUGUGUGUACAUGUCAAAUAAUCGAGGAAUAUGGAGUGAAACAUAUUGCUACAAUAAAUUUCCAUUUGUUUGCUAUGAUGGAAGAGUGAAUGCUACUGCAAGUUAUGUGUAUGUUUCUCAAUACAACAACUGGACUGAAGCUCAGAGUUACUGCAGAGAACAUCACACAGACCUCGUCAGUAUCAGGAAUGAGAUUGAAAACUACAGGGUUCAGUCAUUAAUUGCAUAUUAUUCAGUUGCUUGGAUUGGACUGUACAGAACCAGAUCUUGGUCCGAUCAGAGCAACUCUUCAUUCAGUAACUGGAGGACAGGACAGCCAGAUAAUGCUGGAAACAGUGAAUACUGCACUGCAGCGUCAUUCAGUGACUCUGGAAGCUGGACAGAUGAAAACUGCAACAUUGCAUUACCUUUCAUUUGCUACAACGCAUCAUCCCGUCAGUAUCAUUUUGUGAAUGAGUCUAAGAGCUGGACUGAAGCUCAGAGAUACUGCAGACAGAAUUACACUGAUCUGGUCACCAUUGAUAACAUGGAGGAAAUGAACAGACUGAUUAACACAGUUAAUGGGAGUUACAAUGGUUCAGCCUGGAUUGGACUGUAUGAUGAUGUGAACAGCUGGAGAUGGUCACUGGAAGACAAUGAUUUCUAUCAGGAAGGAGAGAGAGAUUUCAGGAAGUGGUAUCAUGAACCGAACAACAGAGCAAAUGAACUCUGUGUUUACAUGGAUCGUAAUGGAAACUGGUUUGAUUAUUCAUGUGACAACUACUACUCAUUUGUUUGCUACGAUGGUGAAGUAAAUUCCUCUCAGAAAUAUGUUCUGGUAACUGAGGGGAGGACCUGGUCUGGAGCUCAGAGCUACUGCAGAGAGAAAUACACAGACUUGGCCAGUGUGAGGAAUGAGACAGAGCGGCAACAGAUACUGAAUGUUACACAUUAUUAUUAUUAUUAUAGUUAUGGGUAUUAUUAUGGGUAUAAUGUAUGGAUUGGUCUGCACAGAAACAGACUGUGGUCAGAUCAGAGCAACUCUUCAUUCACAUAUUGGCUGCCAUACGCUGAAUGGGCUGAUGCACAACCAGAUAAUGGUGCGUAUGUCCGAGCACUGUAUGGAGCUCAACACUGCACAGCUGUGACUUUAAAGAACUUUGGCCAGUGGACAGAUGAGAGCUGCUUUGACAGUUUGCCUUUCUUCUGUUACAGUGGUGAGCAAAUAUACUGUACCUACAGUACUGUAAUGGAAAAAAAAGUAUAAACACCAGGGGAAAACACACAAGGACAUUCAUUGCAAUAAAUUAUUGAUCUGUUAAUAUGAAUGCCAUUGUUAUUUAUGUAACUAAGUAACAUUUAUAUUAAUGCUAGCUCUGUCUUCUGUUUGCUUUCUGGUGGACAUGAUGACCAUCAUAUUGACCCAUCAAUUCAGAUAAGUAUGUGACUGGACUGAGAGUGAAAAUUACAAGUCUGGAGAAUCUGUCAGAGUCUCAGAUUGAAGAGCUGGUUAUUAUACAGCUCCAGGAAGAACUCAUCAGACAAGGACUUCCCAGCAACUUCACCAUGCAUUUAAGAAACUAUCGUAAAACAAGUCCAUGAGAGACAAAGGAGCAUUCCAGGACAUUAAAAAUGAUUUGGGAUUCAUGUUUUAUCAAACUUAUUGAACAUCUGCAUUUUGCAUGUUCUUGCUACUGAUAACUGAAAUUCUACACUGUAAAUGAUAUUACCAUCACAAUGAUCACAUUAUAAGACAUUGUCAUUGCAGACAUUUCACCUAAUUUUUUUCUAAGUAUUGAAUUACACUUUGUGUCAUCACAUCGUAGCUGCAGUAAACUGAUUAACUCUUAGUUAUCAGCUCUUACAGUUAAAAGGGUUUUCUUAAUUUACAGUUGGUUUAUUUUUUUAUUUGUAUUUUUUCUGCAAUGAUUUGUAAAUUCAGCCCAAUACAUUGGGAUAGGCUCCAGUAUAUCCGUGAUUCGACAGGACAAGUGAUUCACAGAAUGGACGGAUGGAUGAUUUGUUGAUCUGUUCAUAAAUUUAUAUGGUAAUCCAAACAUAAUGAUAAAUCAACAUUUUGGCACUUGAGGAAUACAACUGUAUUUGUCUACAGUACAAUGGAAUGUUUCAGUACAACAACAUACAGUGGAACAACCAGAUGAAGACAGACCUCUGACAUGACUUACAGAUCAUAUGACACAUAUUCACAAUAAAUGGGUCUGGAGGAAGUGUUACUGUACAUGUGGGUGGCAGGAAUAAUAUGCACUGUAAACAAUAAAUAGUUGAAAAAAAUAAAAAAAAUUAAGGCAACCUGAUGCAGUAUGACUUUUGAGUUCUCUCAACAAUAGUUUUUUAGUUCUUGUCAGUAAAGAUACUUUGUUUAGCCAACAUAAAUUUGUUUGUUCAUGCAAUGCUGAUUGUCUAACAGAAAAACUCUUGUCACAGUAACUGAAACAACAAUUACUAUCAUUGAGGUAAUUUAUAUUUUUCUGUUUUCUGGAAAAGCCUUAACAUUUCAACAAUAUGAAAUUCUUUGUUCAGAUAACUGACUAGUUGGGACAACACUUGGGGUAAUUUUAUUGGUCUGACAAGGGUUUUUAUGUAGUUUCAAGAAAAUAGCAUUUUUUAGUAUUUGAGACUCAAAACUGGAAAAUAUGCAGCUGCAUUUUUUACAGUGUGCCUCAGUCAUGAGUUUCCUUUAGUUUUUUAGAAAUGUUGCA